UCGAUUUUAUUUCAAAUCAAUCACACGGAAGAAAGAUAAGAAAAAGAAUUCGAAAAAUACAAUUGUGUUUUACCAUAAAUUUAAUUACUUAUUUUAAAUUAUUAUUUUUUGUUUAUAUAAUUAAUUAUUCAAUUAAUUAUGUUUUGAGAUUAUUUUUACGGUCAGUUAAGAACAAUGUUUUAUUUAAAAAAAUUUAUAAUAUUAAAGUAAAACAAUAGAGAAGAGUAACAAAACAAAAUCUACUAACAGAAAAAAAAAAAAAUAAGUAAAUUCUCUCUGUAUACUUAUUAAAAUUUUUUAUUAUACUUGUAUAAUAUAGUGAAUGAAUAAUAAGAACGACAUUGAAUGGAAAGUUCAUAAGCUUUUCAAAUAAAUUGUACAUUUAAUAUAAAUAAUAUGAUGAACUAAAGUUUGGCAAAAGAAAAAAGAAAGAAAAAAAAAAAAAGAAAUAAUUUUGAAAAGCAAUAAUGGAAAAUGCAACAAAUUCUAUAGAAAUGCAAAUUGAUAAUUUUUUGGAACAUUUCAAAAUAAGUUCACAAUCAUCAUCAGAUUGGGGUGAUACACCAGGAAGUAAUUUUAGUAAUUUAAUAAAAUCAAGAAGUCGUUCUAGUUGUUUGGAUGUGGCAGAUUUAUCCGACAAUGAUUUAGAACGUGUUUUAACCACAAAUAAUGAAUCUCAAAAUUCACAACAACAACAGUAUUCAUUUAAUCAACAACCAAAUUUCUUUAAUGGAUCAUCGAUUUUAAAAUCAGUAUUACAAUCAAAUGUUACAAAUUCAUCAUGUGUUCAAAACUCUAACAAUCAAUAUCCAUCUUCCACCGAUAAUUCUGCCAAAAUAAAUUAUGUAAAUGAUGCAUUACAUAUAGGAGAUGUAGCCGAUUUAUUACAUUUUCAACAUGCAAUAUUGACUGGUGGUAAAUCUAGAGAUGGAUGCCCUUUAAUAAUUUUUCCUGAUAAUAAUAAUUUCCAGUAUCUUGAAGAUAUUGAAUACCAAAAAUUAUUAACGUAUCUAACAUCAGUACCAGCGAUGCAGGAUGCUGAUUUAGGUUUUCAAAUUGUUGUCGAUAGACGAAAGGAUAAAUGGACUGCUGUUAAAGCUGUUUUACUUAAAAUAUCUAUGUUUUUUCCUGAUAUAGUUCAUGUAGUUUAUGUUUUAAGGCCAUCUGGAUUCCUUCAAAAAGCCAUAUCGGAAGUCAGUUCAAAAUUUUUUAAAGAAGAUUUUCGAUUUCGACUAGUCAUUUGUUCAACACUAGAAGAUCUUCAUGAGCAUUUAGAAAAAUCUCAAUUAACACCUGAUAUGGGUGGUACAUUGAUUUAUUCUCAUCAUGAAUGGAUUCAGCAACGAAUUUCAUUAGAACAAUUUUCAAGAUUAACACAAAAAGUUUCAGCAGAUUUAGAUGUCUUCAUACAAUAUAUACAUGAAACAGAGUUUCCAAAUUCUGUGGAUGCUACUCAGAAAUUAAUUGACGAUCAAUGUGAACAAUAUAAUAGUUUAAAGGAAGAAAUAGCUGCAGCUGCAAAACAUGGUGAAGGUUUAUUAAUUAAUAUGAAAAUUCAUGAAGAUAUUAAAGAAUUUUCAGAACGUACAGGAAAUGUUAGCGCUUUGGAACGUGCAGGGAAAUUUAAUCAUAUGCAACAUCAUGAUGACUGUCGUGAUUAUCGCAGACUACUUGUACAACUAGAGGAAACUGAAAGAAGAUUUGAUGAAUUCUUUGCAACACAUCAGAAUCGUUUGAAAUUAUGUUUGGACUUAAGAAAAUUUGAACAAAAUUUUAGGGAAUUACAAAUAUGUCUGGAUGCUCAUGUUAAAACUGUUUCUGAAAUGACAGAAAUUGGUGAUUCAGUUGCACGUGUUGAAAUUUUAAUGAAUGAAACCAAAGAAUUUGAAAAUAUAUGUAAAGAUGAUAUUGAUAGAGCAACUGAAGUUAUUGAAUCUGGUCAACAAUUAAUUGGAAUACAAGGUGCAUACCAAAAAGAUGUUGUACAACCAAAAUGCGAUGAAUUAUAUAGAAUGUGUGAUAUAAUUAAUGAUCGUUUAGCGAAAAGAAUUGAAACAUUAUCUAAGAACGGAGAAUUAAUGGAAAGAGUUGAAAAGGCAAAUAAAUGGUGCCAAAGAGGUGUUGAAUUAAUUGCUUCACAACAUAUGGAAAAAUGUUCUUUAUCAGCUGAUUUAGCAGAACAAUAUUUACAAGAAAUUCAAACAUUUGUUUCGUCAUCUGAUGAAUUUCAAUUAUCGAGUCCAAAAGAAUUUAAAAAUGUUUUUGUUGAAAGUACAACACAAGAAACCAAAGCAUUAGUUACGCAAGUUUUAGAAAGAUUAAAUGAUGUAUCGUUAAUGUGCGAUAAAAGAAUUGUUAGUUUAAAAAAAUUAGCUUUAAAACCACCAAGACCUGUUCAAACAGUAACACCAGAACCAGCAGUACCAUUACAACCACCUGGACUUCCACCACAUUUUCGACGUAGAAGUCAUCCUAAGACUAAUCUUCAUGAUUUACGUCCAAGAUCAACUGAAGGUGGUAUAGAUUCAGGUGUUUCAAUGUCAAGUGAUAGUGGAUGUACUGAUAAUGAUUUUGGUGAACAAAAUAAACAAGAUCUGGAAUCAAGAAGAUUGAAAAGAGGUCAUGUGCUUCAUGAACUGUUAGAAACUGAAAGAAUUUAUGUUACCGAAAUGAAUUCUAUAUUAAAGGGCUAUCGAGAUCAAAUGGAAUCAGAAGAAAUGGUACAUUUAGUUCCACCUGGUUUACAGGGUAAAGAAGAUAUUCUAUUUGGAAAUUUACAUGAAUUGUACACAUUUCAUAGUGAAACAUUUUUAAAAGACUUAGAAAAUUGUAUUUCAACAACAGAAUUGGUGGCAUUAUGUUUUGUACAAAGGAGAGAUACAUUCUAUAGAUUAUAUUCGUUUUAUUGUCAAAAUAUACCAAGAUCAGAAAGAUUACGUGAAACAUUAGUUGAUACACAUUUAUUUUUACAUGAAUGUCAAAAAAAAUUAGGGCACAAAUUACCUUUAGGUGCUUAUUUACUUAAGCCAGUCCAAAGGAUAACAAAAUAUCAGCUAUUAUUAAAAGAUUUAUUAAGAUUUAGUGAUAGUGGUACAUGCACAAAAGAAUUACAAAAAGCUUUAGAUUGUAUGUUAAUUGUAUUAAAAUGUGUUAAUGAUUCAAUGCAUCAAAUAGCAAUAACUGGAUAUCCUCAUGAUCUAUCACAACAAGGUGAAUUAUUAUUACAGGAUUCAUUUCAAGUAUGGACUGAAAAUAAAAAAGAUCUCCGUUUAAGAUUAAAACCGCAACAAAGGCAUAUUUUCCUUUAUCAGAAAUCAAUGUUAUUUUGUAAACAAGCAGCAAAACCAACUACAACUGGUCACAAUAAAAGUACCUACCAAUAUAAAAAUGAUUUAAAGAUGUCACAAAUUGGUUUAACCGAAUCAGUACGUGGUGAUACAAAACGUUUUGAAGUAUGGUUACAAGGUAGACAAGAAGUUUAUACAUUACAAGCACCAACAAUUGAUAUUAAAAAUAAAUGGGUUACUGAAAUAAAACGUGUAUUAUUAAAUCAAUUAGAAGAAUUAAAAGGUGAAAAAAUUAAACAAUAUGGUUUAAAUCCACGUACAGUACGCCCAUCAACAAAUCCAUGGGAUACACCAAUAACUGUAUUAGCACCACCAUUACGUAGUUUAAGUUGUGAUACAUCUGGUUCAGAAUCAAAUCGUAAUUCAAAUUAUAGUGAUGAUUUACAACCAGGUAUUAGUUCAUCAUCAUCAGAACAACAAGAUCCAUCAUGUGGCUGGAGUUCAGAUUAUUCAAAUAGUGAAGAUGAAUUAUCAAAUGUUGAUGAUAAUUCAACACCUAGGAUAUUUAAUUAUAUUGCACAAUGGGCUGGUGAUUACAAUAAUUCACGUGUAACUAAACCUAGUUCUACUUUUUAUGUUUCUGUCGAAUAAGUAGAAAUAAAAAAAAAAAUUAUCAUUUAAAAGUUGUUCAAAUAAAAAUCGAAAAUGGUUUUGUUUUUUUUUUUUUUUUUCUAAUAUAAAAAAUAAUAUUUUACAAACAAUCGUACAUAAAAAAAAAAAAUCAUUUAAUUACAAUGGAAGUUUUUUACGAUUUUAAAUUUAUAAAAAAAAAAAAAAAAACAAACGCUUUUACACCAAAAUAAUUAAAUUAAAAUUUAAAAAAAGAAAAUACAAAAAAGUAGUAGAAGGUUAAAAAAAUAAACUCAUCAAAUUCUGGGGGGCAUUCUGAUUUCAUUCUUGGAUAAAAAAAAAAUUUUAUUUAUAGAAAAUUGAAAAAAUAAACUAAACAUUAUCCAAAACUUCAAUCAAACAAUUUUUUAUUCAAAUCAUUGAAUUAUUUCUUCAAUCAAAUUAAAACUUCGGAGACAUAAAAUGAAGAAAUUUCAACUGUACAAAUUAUAAAUGUUAAUUAAAUAUUAUAACUUCAUUUUUUCAAUAUCUAAUAAUAAAAAUAAUCAUCUUUAUAUACAACAACGUCAUUUAUUGGCAAAUAAAUAAAAUUUAUUGGCUUCGAAGUGGGGGGUACUAAAUAUACAGCAUUAGCUGAUUAUUGUGCUAUUGGACAUUCUGAGGUUUCAAUGAGAGAAGGUGAUUCAGUUGAACUAUUAAAAGUUGGUUGCGCUGGAUGGUGGUUUGUUAAAGUUUUAG
RNA transcript from Condylostylus longicornis, 4655 nucleotides. It is a transcript of the gene named guanine nucleotide exchange factor DBS-like, with no coding region annotated. The transcript is spliced from 21 exons. Lineage: Eukaryota; Metazoa; Arthropoda; Insecta; Diptera; Dolichopodidae. The record is from RefSeq and is a predicted model, not a curated record.